Molecule: ribosomal RNA, 497 nt
Filed under: uncultured bacterium
Lineage: Bacteria
Description: partial 16S ribosomal RNA
Rfam family: Bacterial small subunit ribosomal RNA
Source: RNAcentral
AGUGAACGCUGGCGGUAGGCCUAACACAUGCAAGUCGAACGGCCACACAGUAAGCGCUUGCUCUUACCGUUGGCGACUGACGGACGAGUAACACAUACAUCAGAUUCUACUUUUUCGUGGGGGAUUACGUAGGGCAACUUCUGCUAAUACCGCAUACGACCUACGGGUUGAAUCAGGGGAUCUUCGCACCUUUCCUGACUGUAUUAGCCGAAUUCGCGUCGGAUUAGCUAGUUGGUAAGGUAACGGCUCACCAAGGCGACGAUGCGUAGCCGAUCUGAGAGGGUGAUCAGCCACACUGGAACUGAGACACGGUCCAGACUCCUACGGGAGGCAGCAGUGGGGAAUAUUGGGCAAUGGGCGAAAGCCUGAUGCAGCAAUACCGCGUGGGUGAUGAAGGCCUUCGGAUUGUAAAGCCCUGUUGUUGGGAAAGAAAAGCAGCGGAAGAAAACCCGGCUGUUCUGACGGUACCCAAAGAGUAAGCACCGGCUAACUUCGUG